CGCAUCUGUGCAUGCAGCAUAUCAAUAAGCGGAGGAAAAGAAACUAACAAGGAUUCCCCUAGUAACGGCGAGUGAAGCGGGAAGAGCUCAAAUUUGAAAUCUUAAAGGGUUUCCCUUUACGAAUUGUAGUUUAAAGAAGUGUUUUCUGUUGAGGUUUUGGUAAAAGUUCUUUGGAAUAGGACAUCAUAGAGGGUGAGAAUCCCGUAUUUGACCUUUACUUUCAACUUUGUGAUACACUUUCAAAGAGUCGGAUUGUUUGGGAAUGCAGUCCAAAAUGGGUGGUAAAUUUCAUCUAAAGCUAAAUAUUGGCGAGAGACCGAUAGAGAACAAGUACCGUGAGGGAAAGAUGAAAAGAACUUUGAAAAGAGAGUUAAACAGUACGUGAAAUUGUCAAAAGGGAAGCGUUUGACACCAGUGUUGUUUUUCUGAAAAUCAAUUAAAGAACUGUUUAUGCUAAGCUGUUUAGACUUUAUCAGCUAACUGUUUAGUUUUGAGCUUUUCUUUAAUGCACUUUUCAGUUAACAAGUCAACAUCAAUUUCUUUUGCUGUAAAAAAGCUUGAGGAAGGUGGCUUGAGAUUCGUCUUAAGUGUUUAUAGCCUCUUGCCUAUGCAGUCGGAGAGAUUGAGGUCUGCAGCGUAGAUCCUUCGGGGCUAAAUGCAUUUGUGCUAAGUUAUAGCAUUUUAUAGACAACUUGUUGACUAUGAUUUGUCUUGUAGCUUACUCGCUUAUGUUAUUUUACCUACGCUUAGGAUGUUGAAUCUGUGCGAGACUAC
RNAcentral lists this ribosomal RNA (774 nucleotides) under uncultured Neocallimastigales. RNAcentral describes it as "partial large subunit ribosomal RNA". It matches the Rfam family "Eukaryotic large subunit ribosomal RNA", at positions 26 to 644 of the family's 3401-position model. Lineage: Eukaryota; Fungi; Neocallimastigomycota; Neocallimastigomycetes; Neocallimastigales. The record is from RNAcentral.